Molecule: transfer RNA, 72 nt
Filed under: Luteuthis dentatus
Lineage: Eukaryota; Metazoa; Mollusca; Cephalopoda; Octopoda; Luteuthidae
Description: tRNA-Lys
Rfam family: tRNA
About the family: Transfer RNA (tRNA) molecules are approximately 80 nucleotides in length. Their secondary structure includes four short double-helical elements and three loops (D, anti-codon, and T loops).
Source: RNAcentral
UAUUAAGUGGCUGAAAUUUUAAGCAUUAGACUUUUAAUCUAAUUAAUGAUUAUAUUUAUUAAUCCUUAAUAG